Molecule: ribosomal RNA, 372 nt
Filed under: uncultured organism
Description: bacterial SSU rRNA
Rfam family: Bacterial small subunit ribosomal RNA
Source: RNAcentral
CAGAGGGUGCAAACGUUGCUCGGAAUUAUUGGGCGUAAAGCGCGUGUAGGCGGCUUGUUAAGUCGGUUGUGAAAACCCAUGGCUCAACCAUGGAAGUGCGUCCGAAACUGGCAAGCUAGAGUCUUGACGAGGAUGGCGGAAUUCCCAGUGUAGAGGUGAAAUUCGUAGAUAUUGGGAGGAACACCGGUGGCGAAGGCGGCCAUCUGGGAAGGUACUGACGCUGAGACGCGAAAGCGUGGGGAGCAAACAGGAUUAGAUACCCUGGUAGUCCACGCCGUAAACGAUGAGCACUAGGUGUUGCGGGUAUUGACCCCUGCAGUGCCGACGCUAACGCAUUAAGUGCUCCGCCUGGGGAGUACGGCCGCAAGGCUA